GGAUGUGAGGGCGAUCUGGGCUGCGACAUCUGUCACCCCAUUUGAUCGCCAGGGUUGAUCUGGCUGACUUGGCUGACUAGGCAGGUGUCCCCCUCCUCCCUCACUGCUCCAAUGUGCGUCCUCCGAAGCUGCUCUCUGUUGAGAAGACGCUUCCCAAAUAGAGACGACUGUCUUCAGUCGAGGUAUAGAGUAGCUGCGCUCCCUGCUAGAACCUCCAAACAAGCUCUCAAGGUCCUAGCUGUGACCAUGGACUGAGAGCUCAGACUGACAGGGAUGCAGAAGUUACACAGGAUCCUGUGCUA
RNAcentral lists this small nuclear RNA (302 nucleotides) under Erinaceus europaeus (western European hedgehog). RNAcentral's name for it is "7SK RNA (ENSEEUG00000021398.1)". The stretch from base 1 to 271 matches the Rfam family "7SK RNA". From Rfam's summary of the family: 7SK was discovered as an abundant small nuclear RNA in the mid-70s but a possible function has only recently been suggested. Two independent studies have found that 7SK RNA binds the CDK9/cyclin T complex (known as elongation factor P-TEFb). Lineage: Eukaryota; Metazoa; Chordata; Mammalia; Eulipotyphla; Erinaceidae. The record is from RNAcentral.